GCAGUCGUGGCCGAGCGGUUAAGGCGAUGGUCUUGAAAACCACUGGGUUCUGCCCGCGUAGGUUCGAAUCCUACUGACUGCG
Rhipicephalus sanguineus (brown dog tick) is the source of this 82-nucleotide non-coding RNA. The record is from the annotation of a RefSeq genome assembly. NCBI's taxonomy places the organism in Eukaryota, Metazoa, Arthropoda, Arachnida, Ixodida, Ixodidae.